CGCCGUGAUGGUUCGCAGGUGGUGGUGCAGUCGGCACAGGCCCGACUACGGGCGGUGGUCGCAAGGAAGACAAGUUCGACAUUGGCGGUGGUGC
This 94-nucleotide transfer RNA is filed under the name Fusarium culmorum CS7071. Lineage: Eukaryota; Fungi; Ascomycota; Sordariomycetes; Hypocreales; Nectriaceae. The record is from RNAcentral.